Molecule: unclassified non-coding RNA, 526 nt
Filed under: Daphnia pulicaria
Lineage: Eukaryota; Metazoa; Arthropoda; Branchiopoda; Diplostraca; Daphniidae
Description: neurotrophin 1-like, transcript variant X2
Source: RNAcentral
ACAAAACUUAACCAACAAGGACGUGGAUUGGCUUCUGGUACAACUCGAAAAUGUAAAGGGCCCGACACGCAUUAGUACGAGUACAAUCACGCUGAUUUCAUUUGGGAACGCCGGUGGGUUUCUUCAAGGUUUAAAAGCCCCAACUGCACAUCCGCACGAGCCAGGCAACUUGAAUUUUUCGAUGGUGAAAGGAAAUGCGUAAUCGCUGGGAUUGAAGACCAAAAAACGGUGGAAGAUGUUCUUCUGGAUGCAUUUGGAAUCGUAGCAGGACGGGACCAGUGGGCAGACAGUGCCAACAACCACGUCACAUUCCUCAACUCGAGCCGUCUGGGUGUAUUUGACGCCGUAGGACUCUACUCCAUUGACGAUGGUCCGCCACUUGCCUUCGACGUUAAUGGCCCGUAGAGGACGGACGUACUCGGUGGAGCUCGGACAAAGCUAUGUUUGGCUGCCGUAUUGGUUGGAGCUGUUGCUGUGCCGGAGCCGGAUGCUGACCCCCAAACUUAUUCAAAACCUGCCUACCCAG